UACGUAGGGUGCGAGCGUUGUCCGGAAUUACUGGGCGUAAAGAGCUCGUAGGUGGUUUGUCGCGUUGUUCGUGAAAACCUGAGGCUUAACCUUGGGCGUGCGGGCGAUACGGGCAGACUGGAGUACUGCAGGGGAGACUGGAAUUCCUGGUGUAGCGGUGGAAUGCGCAGAUAUCAGGAGGAACACCGGUGGCGAAGGCGGGUCUCUGGGCAGUAACUGACGCUGAGGAGCGAAAGCGUGGUGAGCUAACAGG
RNAcentral lists this ribosomal RNA (253 nucleotides) under uncultured bacterium. RNAcentral's name for it is "partial 16S ribosomal RNA". It matches the Rfam family "Bacterial small subunit ribosomal RNA", at positions 524 to 776 of the family's 1533-position model. The record is from RNAcentral.